UUGUGAGAGCAAGAGCCCGGAGAUGGAUUCUGAGACACGAAUUCAGGCCCUACGGGGCGCAGCAGGCGCGAAAACUUUACAAUGCGGGAAACCGUGAUAAGGGGACACCGAGUGUCAGCAUCAUAUGCUGGCUGUCCAGGUGUGUAAAAUACACCUGUUAGCAAGGGCCGGGCAAGACCGGUGCCAGCCGCCGCGGUAACACCGGCGGCCCGAGUGGUGAUCGUGAUUAUUGGGUCUAAAGGGUCCGUAGCCGGUUUGGUCAGUCCUCCGGGAAAUCUGAUAGCUCAACUAUUAGGCUAUCGGGGGAUACUACCAGACUUGGAACCGGGAGAGGUAAGAGGUACUACAGGGGUAGGAGUGAAAUCUUGUAAUCCCUGUGGGACCACCUGUGGCGAAGGCGUCUUACCAGAACGGGUUCGACGGUGAGGGACGAAAGCUGGGGGCACGAACCGGAUUAGAUACCCGGGUAGUCCCAGCCGUAAACGAUGCUCGCUAGGUGUCAGGCAUGGCGCGACCGUGUCUGGUGCCGCAGGGAAGCCGUGAAGCGAGCCACCUGGGAAGUACGGCCGCAAGGCUGAAACUUAAAGGAAUUGGCGGGGG
This 600-nucleotide ribosomal RNA is filed under the name uncultured Methanosarcina sp. RNAcentral's name for it is "bacterial SSU rRNA". It matches the Rfam family "Archaeal small subunit ribosomal RNA", at positions 274 to 874 of the family's 1478-position model. The record is from RNAcentral. Lineage: Archaea; Methanobacteriati; Methanobacteriota; Methanomicrobia; Methanosarcinales; Methanosarcinaceae.